Molecule: ribosomal RNA, 513 nt
Filed under: uncultured Glomus
Lineage: Eukaryota; Fungi; Glomeromycota; Glomeromycetes; Glomerales; Glomeraceae
Description: SSU rRNA
Rfam family: Eukaryotic small subunit ribosomal RNA
Source: RNAcentral
AGCAGCCGCGGUAAUUCCAGCUCCAAUAGCGUAUAUUAAAGUUGUUGCAGUUAAAAAGCUCGUAGUUGAAUUUCGAGAUCAAAUUGUUGGUCGUGCCUCGGUACGUACUGGCAUUAUUGAUUUCUCCCUUCUGAAGAACCACGAUGUCAUUAAUUUGGUGUCGUGGGGAAUCAGGACUGUUACUUUGAAAAAAUUAGAGUGUUUAAAGCAGGCUCGCGCUUGAAUACAUUAGCAUGGAAUAAUGAAAUAGGACGUUUGAUUCUAUUUUGUUGGUUUCUAGGAUCGACGUAAUGAUUAAUAGGGAUAGUUGGGGGCAUUAGUAUUCAAUUGUCAGAGGUGAAAUUCUUGGAUUUAUUGAAGACUAACUACUGCGAAAGCAUUUGCCAAGGAUGUUUUCAUUAAUCAAGAACGAAAGUUAGGGGAUCGAAGACGAUCAGAUACCGUCGUAGUCUUAACCAUAAACUAUGCCGACUAGGGAUCGGAUGAUGUAAUUUUUAAUGACUCAUUCGGCGU